GAUGAACGCUGGCGGCGUGCUUAACACAUGCAAGUCGAACGAUGAAGCCCAGCUUGCUGGGUGGAUUAGUGGCGAACGGGUGAGUAACACGUGAGUAACCUGCCCUUAACUCUGGGAUAAGCCUGGAAAACUGGGUCUAAUACCGGAUAGGGGCGUCCACCGCAUGGGGGGUGUUGGAAAGAUUUAUCGGUUUUGGAUGGACUCGCGGCCUAUCAGCUUGUUGGUGAGGUAAUGGCUCACCAAGGCGACGACGGGUAGCCGGCCUGAGAGGGUGACCGGCCACACUGGGACUGAGACACGGCCCAGACUCCUACGGGAGGCAGCAGUGGGGAAUAUUGCACAAUGGGCGAAAGCCUGAUGCAGCGACGCCGCGUGAGGGAUGACGGCCUUCGGGUUGUAAACCUCUUUCAGUAGGGAAGAAGCGAAAGUGACGGUACCUGCAGAAGAAGCACCGGCUAACUACGUG
RNAcentral lists this ribosomal RNA (466 nucleotides) under uncultured bacterium. RNAcentral's name for it is "partial 16S ribosomal RNA". It matches the Rfam family "Bacterial small subunit ribosomal RNA", at positions 28 to 507 of the family's 1533-position model. The record is from RNAcentral.